AGUGAACGCUGGCGGUAGGCCUAACACAUGCAAGUCGAACGGCAGCACAGUAAGAGCUUGCUCUUACGGGUGGCGAGUGGCGGACGGGUGAGGAAUACAUCGGAAUCUACUUUUUCGUGGGGGAUAACGUAGGGAAACUUACGCUAAUACCGCAUACGACCUACGGGUGAAAGCAGGGGAUCUUCGGACCUUGCGCGAUUGAAUGAGCCGAUGUCGGAUUAGCUAGUUGGCGGGGUAAAGGCCCACCAAGGCGACGAUCCGCAGCUGGUCUGAGAGGAUGAUCAGCCACACUGGAACUGAGACACGGUCCAGACUCCUACGGGAGGCAGCAGUGGGGAAUAUUGGACAAUGGGCGCAAGCCUGAUCCAGCCAUACCGCGUGGGUGAAGAAGGCCUUCGGGUUGUAAAGCCCUUUUGUUGGGAAAGAAAAGCAGCAGGUUAAUACCCCGCUGUUCGGACGGUACCCAAAGAAUAAGCACCGGCUAACUUCGU
RNAcentral lists this ribosomal RNA (491 nucleotides) under uncultured bacterium. Its description in RNAcentral is "partial 16S ribosomal RNA". It matches the Rfam family "Bacterial small subunit ribosomal RNA", at positions 29 to 506 of the family's 1533-position model. The record is from RNAcentral.